GAUGAACGCUGGCGGCGUGCUUAACACAUGCAAGUCGAACGGUGAAGCCAAGCUUGCUUGGUGGAUCAGUGGCGAACGGGUGAGUAACACGUGAGCAACCUGCCCCGGACUCUGGGAUAAGCGCUGGAAACGGCGUCUAAUACCGGAUAUGAACCACAGCCGCAUGGUUGGUGGUUGGAAAGAUUUUUUGGUUCGGGAUGGGCUCGCGGCCUAUCAGCUUGUUGGUUAGGUAAUGGCUCACCAAGGCGUCGACGGGUAGCCGGCCUGAGAGGGGGACCGGGCACACUGGGACUGGGACACGGCCCAGACGCCUGCGGGAGGCAGCAGUGGGGAAGAGUGCACAAUGGGCGGAAGCCUGAUGCAGAAACGCCGAGUGAGGGAUGACGGCCUUCGGGUUGUAAACCUCUUGUAGCAAGGAAGAAGCGAAAGUGACGGUACUUGCAGAAAAAGCGCCGGCUAACUACGUGCCAGCCGCCGCGGUAA
This 483-nucleotide ribosomal RNA is filed under the name uncultured bacterium. RNAcentral describes it as "partial 16S ribosomal RNA". It matches the Rfam family "Bacterial small subunit ribosomal RNA", at positions 28 to 523 of the family's 1533-position model. The record is from RNAcentral.